AGAGUUUGAUCCUGGCUCAGGAUGAACGCUAGCUACAGGCUUAACACAUGCAAGUCGAGGGGAAACGACAUCGAAAGCUUGCUUUUGAUGGGCGUCGACCGGCGCACGGGUGAGUAACGCGUAUCCAACCUGCCCACCACUUGGGGAUAACCUUGCGAAAGUAAGACUAAUACCCAAUGACGUCUCUAGAAGACAUCUGAAAGAGAUUAAAGAUUUAUCGGUGAUGGAUGGGGAUGCGUCUGAUUAGCUUGUUGGCGGGGUAACGGCCCGCCAAGGCUACGAUCAGUAGGGGUUCUGAGAGGAACGGUCCCCCACAUUGGAACUGAGACACGUCCGAACUACCGUACGGAGGCGAG
Molecule: ribosomal RNA, 356 nt
Filed under: uncultured bacterium
Lineage: Bacteria
Description: bacterial SSU rRNA
Rfam family: Bacterial small subunit ribosomal RNA
Source: RNAcentral